UCUUCUUUUGUCCAAUUCUGCAUCCCCUCAUCCAUUCUAAACCACCUAUUGUGUGUCCUUUUCUGCCUUUUUCCAUCCCUUACUUUAUUCAUUUUCUAGAUCAUUCUUAUUUUUACUUUGUCUGAGUUUUCUGCUCAUUGGACAACUGUGUUUCCCAGUUUCUUGAUUUAUCCUUUUCUGUUUGGGAUCAAUUCUCCCUCCUAUCCUCCUGGCUCUGUGACUGUCCCUCUGCUCCCAAGUGGAAUUUGUGAACAGAGAGGCAACUCUGAAGUAGCCCACCCUGUCAGGGCUCCCUCUUUAGUGGAAUUUCAUUUUCUCUCUCCUCCCAGCUCUGUACCUGCAGCAGCCCCUGGAAAACAUAAAGCCAGUUGUGAGAAGGAGGCACAAGGACAGCUGUUGAUCCUGAAAAUGGUUCUAAUUUGUCUCUGUCUCAUUAGCUUAAUGCUGAUGCUGGCGGCCCCCAGGUUGCUGACUUCCUUUUUCAAGCUUGGUGACUUUCUUUUCAACUUGGCCUGAGGCUUAUCAGAUCCAGAGAUGAAGCUGACAGUUCAGGCCACCUUCCCUUGUAGAUUCUGGCCCUUUGUGUCCACUCACCAGGGACUUUCAUUCAUCUCUAGGACUACAGUGAUUAAAAGCAGGAGGAGAGACUGUUCUCAUUGGCUAGCCUCUCUCUGAAUCGUCAUGACGGGCAAAAUUGCAUAAAUAAAUGCUUACUGUGCAGGAACCACCUUUUAAGGAGCUCAGGUGUAUAAUUAUUCCUGCAGAAGGACGUGGGCUGUGUUUGUAUGUGUACGAGACCAGACUCUGCUGGCUGUUCGUUUGUUUUGGUUGUCUUAAUGACGAUCGUGGAUUGCUUCAGGACCGAUGGGUCUGCAGCCUCUGGACCAGUAAGAGAGAUGGCCCAAAUGAGUAAACGGAGGUGUCUACAGAGCCCAUGAAGAAUCAGAGGAGCCUCAACAGCUGGAUGCUAUAAAUGCCUCAGUAUUGGCACUCAUCUUUCAAUCAUUUCACUAAUCAUACAUAGAAUAUUCAGGCAAAGGAUGUUUGCCAUGGAUGCAUCAUCUGCUUCCCAGCUCUGCAGUAUCUGACAGUGAGUGAGAUGGGCUCACUUUAGUGUUAAAUGUGUUGGAUGGAGAUAAUUAAUUCUCAAUCUGUGUGAGUAAAUCAGUUUCCCCUCUUUCCCUAGCAUUAAUCAGGCUCCCACGCACAGGCAGGACCUCACACAUGCUCCCUGCUCUCUGGUAUGCUGUCAAAUCCCGUAGGCCAAAAGAAAUCUACUUUACAGAUUUUAGAUGGAAUUUGAAAAACAAAAGUGUUCUUAUUGAACAGUAAUGAGAUUCUACUAACCUCUUGAUUUAUAGACUAAAUGUGACAGAUGUGGCUAAUUUGGCAUGGAUAAUACUGAAAAAUACAAUAAAAUUCUAUUUUUAAACUAGUGACAGUUGAGAACCUUUCUUCCAUGUAAACAAUCCAGAAGUCCCUCAUUGAAAAAGAAACCCAGUUUCCUGAUUAUGCUGCAAUUAGUACAAAAUAUUUCCAUAAUGAAUUGGAAGCAUUGCAUUUUCUUUUCUCAGUGUUAAAUUUAAGAAAGGCUUUUGAAGCCUUGUGAAGAUAGUGAGACUAACUUUAUUUUUGUAAUUCUCUAUUGAGUUCAAGAAUCCAAUAGUUAGCAUAAAGCUGGCCACACAACAAAGAUCUGUUGAACUAAAAUCUUUAAAGGUUUGUUCAAUUGAAACGUCUGUUUUAUCUUUAGCCCGAUUUUUAUCUGUUUGGAAUGUUCCUCUGGCAAUAGUACCAUAUUCUGACACAUAGUUCUUUUUUUAAGUACGAAAUUACAUUGCCAUUGGAGUUUUAGACUUUGAAUAUGCCCCAUGUGGGACAUUUCAGUUGGUAGAUGGAACUCCUAUGCCACUGAAAAUUUUAGACUAUGUGAAAGGAAAAUCUGUUUCUCUUACUAAUUUCUGUCCAACCACAAUAUGUUUUAUCAGUGCUGAGAUGAUAAAUACAAUUGAAGGAAAUAAAUUACUUUGUUGAUUUGUGUGUGUAUGUUACUGCCUUUAUUUUUCUUAUAAUCACUCUGAAAUUCUUCUGUUGGUAAAAGGAAAGAAAGCUCAGAUAUACCCUCUUGAUUAAAAUUUUGAUACAGACAUAUGAAAAGGAAGGACAAAGAGAGAAAAUAGGACAUGAAGAGGAGAGGAAGUAAGAGAUGCUUUUAUGCAGACAAAGCAAAGAUCUUGACUUGGAGCCUUCUAUUCCUUAUGGGGUCCAGACUUUUGGACACGUCUGUUGAACUGUUAGGACAGGCAGACCUCACUGAGGCCUUUGACAUGGUCGCUAAGCAGCUUCCUGGGAAACAAUCCAUUGCUAGGAUUCCAAACCAUUGGGCGCUUGUGAAGCCAGGUGAGGGGGAUAAUGGGAUUUGGGGGGAGGGAAUCUUGAAGAGCUUGUUCAGAGAGAUCUCAUCCUGAAGAAAGAUGAGUACUAAAGAGACCUUUAAGCAGCCUUUGGAGUGAGAAGUUGCCAUGGUCUGAAUGUCUGUGACUCCAGAUUUCAUAUGUUGAGAUCCUAACCCCAAGAUGAUGGUCUUACCAGGUGGAGCCUGUGGGAGGUGAUUUGGCCCCUUAUAAAAGACACGCCGCCCCCAGCCCCACCC
Molecule: long non-coding RNA, 2653 nt
Organism: Acinonyx jubatus (cheetah)
Lineage: Eukaryota; Metazoa; Chordata; Mammalia; Carnivora; Felidae
Exons: 3
Source: RefSeq, a predicted model, not a curated record